AUUGAACGCUGGCGGCAUGCCUUACACAUGCAAGUCGAACGGCAGCACGGGUGCUUGCACCUGGUGGCGAGUGGCGAACGGGUGAGUAAUACAUCGGAACGUACCUUAUCGUGGGGGAUAACGCAGCGAAAGCUGUGCUAAUACCGCAUACGCCCUGAGGGGGAAAGCGGGGGAUCGAAAGACCUCGCGCGAUUAGAGCGGCCGAUGCCUGAUUAGCUUGUUGGUGGGGUAAAAGCCCACCAAGGCGACGAUCAGUAGCUGGUUUGAGAGGACGAUCAACCACACUGGGACUGGGACACGGCCCAGACUCCGACGGGAGGCAGCAGUGGGGAAUUUUGGACAAUGGGGGCAACCCUGAUCCAGCAAUGCCGCGUGAGUGAAGAAGGCCUUCGGGUUGUAAAGCCCUUUUGUCAGGGAAGAAACACCGGCUCUAACACAGUCCGGGAAUGACGGUACCUGAAGAAUAAGCACCGGCUAACUACGUGCCAGCCGCCGCCGUAA
RNAcentral lists this ribosomal RNA (501 nucleotides) under uncultured bacterium. RNAcentral's name for it is "partial 16S ribosomal RNA". It matches the Rfam family "Bacterial small subunit ribosomal RNA", at positions 29 to 523 of the family's 1533-position model. The record is from RNAcentral.